GAUGAACGCUGGCGGCGUGCCUAAUACAUGCAAGUAGAACGCUGAAGGAGGAGCUUGCUCUUCUGGAUGAGUUGCGAACGGGUGAGUAACGCGUAGGUAACCUGCCUGGUAGCGGGGGAUAACUAUUGGAAACGAUAGCUAAUACCGCAUGACAACAGUUAUUGCAUGAUAACUGUUUAAAAGGGGCAACUGCUCCACUACCAGAUGGACCUGCGUUGUAUUAGCUAGUUGGUGAGGUAACGGCUCACCAAGGCGACGAUACAUAGCCGACCUGAGAGGGGGGUCGGCCAAACUGGGACUGAGACACGGCCCAGACUCCUACGGGAGGCAGCAGUAGGGAAUCGUCGGCAAUGGACGGAAGUCUGACCGAGCAACGCCGCGUGAGUGAAGAAGGGUUUCGGAUCGUAAAGCUCUGUUGUAAGAGAAGAACGAGUGUGAGAGUGGAAAGUUCACACUGUGACGGUAGCUUACCAGAAAGAGACGGCUAACUACGUG
RNAcentral lists this ribosomal RNA (495 nucleotides) under uncultured bacterium. RNAcentral describes it as "partial 16S ribosomal RNA". It matches the Rfam family "Bacterial small subunit ribosomal RNA", at positions 28 to 507 of the family's 1533-position model. The record is from RNAcentral.